UGCGGAGGCUCGUUGGCUACCUCCUAAAUCCUAGUGAACAAAAAAUUAAUUGGCGAAAAUAACUACGCUCUCGCUGCUUAAUCGAAGUACAGUAGAUUAGCUUUAUUCCGGUACAAGGUGCUGGAACGGGAUAUCGCUCAACGGAUGUGGUUCCGAAUCUUGUUGAUCAAGCGGUGCAGGCAAAUCGGAAAUAGUUCAUGUACGCCUCGUUGCAUGGAUGAAAUUUUAGAGGAUAAGGGUAUGAUUGGUGAUUAAGGUCUUGUCAUACCUCGAAAAUUAAAGGCUGGAAUAAGCA
This 295-nucleotide transfer-messenger RNA is filed under the name Segatella copri. It matches the Rfam family "transfer-messenger RNA", at positions 48 to 314 of the family's 374-position model. From Rfam's summary of the family: Bacterial tmRNA, also known as 10Sa RNA or SsrA, is named for its dual tRNA and mRNA-like properties. The record is from RNAcentral. Lineage: Bacteria; Pseudomonadati; Bacteroidota; Bacteroidia; Bacteroidales; Prevotellaceae.